GUGCGUAACGCGUAUACAAUCUGCCUUUCACUGGGGGAUAGCCCGAAGAAAUUUGGAUUAAUACCCCAUAGUAUAURAGGACGGCAUCGUUWUUAUAUUAAAGCUWMGGUGGUGAAAGAUGAGUAUGCGUUCUAUUAGCUAGUUGGAGAGGUAACGGCUCCCCAAGGCGAUGAUAGAUAGGGGUUCUGAGAGGGAUGUCCCCCACACUGGUACUGAGAUACGGACCAGACUCCUACGGGAGGCAGCAGUGAGGAAUAUUGGACAAUGGUCGGAAGACUGAUCCAGCCAUGCCGCGUGCAGGAUGAMGGYCUUAUGGRUUGUAAACUGCU
RNAcentral lists this ribosomal RNA (329 nucleotides) under Capnocytophaga sp. W142. RNAcentral describes it as "partial 16S ribosomal RNA". It matches the Rfam family "Bacterial small subunit ribosomal RNA", at positions 106 to 434 of the family's 1533-position model. The record is from RNAcentral. Lineage: Bacteria; Pseudomonadati; Bacteroidota; Flavobacteriia; Flavobacteriales; Flavobacteriaceae.